Molecule: ribosomal RNA, 251 nt
Filed under: uncultured prokaryote
Description: partial 16S rRNA
Rfam family: Bacterial small subunit ribosomal RNA
Source: RNAcentral
ACGGAGGGUGCAAGCGUUAUUCGGAAUCAUUGGGCGUAAAGGGCGCGUAGGCGGCUUUGUAAGUCAGAUGUGAAAGCCCGGGGCUUAACCCCGGAAGUGCAUUUGAAACUACAAGGCUUGAGUAUGGGAGAGGAGAGCGGAAUUCCUGGUGUAGAGGUGAAAUUCGUAGAUAUCAGGAGGAACACCGGUGGCGAAGGCGGCUCUCUGGACCAAUACUGACGCUGAGGCGCGAAGGCGUGGGGAUCAAACAG